Molecule: long non-coding RNA, 927 nt
Organism: Tympanuchus pallidicinctus (lesser prairie-chicken)
Lineage: Eukaryota; Metazoa; Chordata; Aves; Galliformes; Phasianidae
Exons: 3
Source: RefSeq, a predicted model, not a curated record
AAUGGAUGUUUUACUUGCUAUGCUUUUUGUCACUUAAUAAAGGUGAAAUAGACCAGAGGAGCCAUUCUGUCACCAACACAGCAUCACUGCAGCUGAGCUUACAGUUGGUCUGCUGGAGAACCUGUAGGUUCUGGGGUCCUUGAGGACGCUGCAUCUACCUGCAGCAGGCAAAUACAGUCCCUUCCCUUAAUCCCUUAAGCUCAGCAACGAAGUUUUGUUUCAAGCACCUGGAAGGCAAGAACAGACAUUCUUCCAUUUUUCUUCAAACAGUAAAUGCUGGAUGAAGCUCCAUAACAGAAUAUAUUGGCUGCUGCUCCUGCUUUGCUCCAUGAAGUUGCAUGAUCUUCAUAUGUUUCCUGACCACUGCACAAAGAUAUUCCUUCUCUGUGACACCUCUGAGAAGUCAUUCUCUAUCACUGUUGUGUGGGAAUUACUACCUAAGGAAUCAGAAAAUUCAUUUCCAAUGAAUGGGACGGCCUAAAUCUUCAUAAACUCUGUGAACUUUGCAAGAGUAACAGAUGCAGUUGAAUGUCUGGAUGUCUCACAACUUGGUACAUCCAAGUUUAGGAUAUGUUCUUAGGUGAAAAUCCACUAAUAUAAUAGUAGGAAAUUAUUUAGCUAUAGGUACCUAGAGCUGUUUCCUUUUUGGACUACAAAAGUUAACAGUGAUGGCAAGAAACCUGUCAUGCCUUUAAUUUGCUUUAAAAAUAAAACACUCCUCCCUACCUUUUAAUAACACUAUAGCCUGUGCACUUUCCAAAGUUCUAUAAACGGCCUUAAAAAGAGAACUCUGAAUCUGUGAAAUGUGGCAAGUUGACUUAACAUCUGGAAGUACUCUCGGGGCUUUUCACGAGACAGUGAAAAACUGGGCUGUGUGAUUUCUUGAUAUUCAUGCAAGGAAUAUCCAGUAGCAUCAUUGAUAGUUAA